AGGAUGGCGGCGGAGCAGGACCCCGAGGCGCGGGCGGCGGCGCGGCCGCUGCUCACUGACCUCUACCAGGCCACCAUGGCGUUGGGCUAUUGGCGCGCGGGCCGGGCGCGGGACGCCGCCGAGUUCGAGCUCUUCUUCCGCCGCUGCCCGUUCGGCGGCGCCUUCGCCUUGGCCGCCGGCUUGCGCGACUGUGUGCGCUUCCUGCGCGCCUUCCGCCUGCGGGACGCCGGUAGUCACCCGUCCGCGCGACGAGCCCCCCACGCCCGGCAGAAACCCCCACCUAUGGCCGGUGGAAGUCCUUGCCCCCCAGUGGAACCCCCCAUGUCCCACGACCGGUCUGUCCCCGCGCUGGUCUCAGCGCAGUUACCUCGUUUCCAGACGUGCAGUUCCUGGCCUCGGUGCUGCCCCCAGACACGGACCCUGCGUUCUUCGAGCACCUUCGGGCCCUCGACUGCUCCGAGGUGACGGUGCGAGCCCUGCCCGAGGGCUCCCUCGCCUUCCCGGGCGUGAGUAGGGGUAAGCGGGCGGCGCGGCGGCCACGGGGUGCUGGGCCGAGCGCGGAGCUGACUUCUCUCCCCGCAGGUGCCGCUCCUGCAGGUGUCCGGGCCGCUCCUGGUGGUGCAGCUGCUGGAGACACCGCUGCUCUGCCUGGUCAGCUACGCCAGCCUGGUGGCCACCAAUGCAGCGCGGCUUCGCUUGAUCGCAGGGCCAGAGAAGCGGCUGCUAGAGAUGGGCCUGAGGCGGGCUCAGGGCCCCGAUGGGGGCCUGACAGCCUCCACCUACAGCUACCUGGGCGGU
This 798-nucleotide small RNA is filed under the name Pan troglodytes (chimpanzee). RNAcentral describes it as "retained intron". The record is from RNAcentral. Lineage: Eukaryota; Metazoa; Chordata; Mammalia; Primates; Hominidae.